AUGGACCAAUCCAUCCCUUUUUCCCGUGCAUAUGCAUCGGACUCGGAUGACGAUGGUCCCGAUGAAGAAGUUGAUGAGGAGGGGUUCACGCCGAAGGAGGCCCAAGCAUUCAAGAAGGUAUUUGGGCGGGAUCAGAAGACACCAUUGUUCAAGGAUCUUAGUCUCACGGAUGAAGCCAUUGUGGAUGGUGGCAAAUGCAUAUCUCUUGGAGCCAGGCCAAGUUCUCACCGUGAUUUGGAAGACGACAAGAACAGAAAGAGCCCGGAGGAACCACAAACGAUGGCCACCAACACGGAGGCCGCGCUUUCAAGGUCUCCCUAA
RNAcentral lists this ribosomal RNA (321 nucleotides) under Triticum aestivum (bread wheat). RNAcentral's name for it is "partial small subunit ribosomal RNA". Lineage: Eukaryota; Viridiplantae; Streptophyta; Magnoliopsida; Poales; Poaceae. The record is from RNAcentral.